CUACUGUGCUGCCAGUCACAUACAAGUAGAGUAAAUACAACUAGUUUUUCAGAAAGUUAACUGUAGAACAGCCUCAAGCAAGUCCUUCAAGAGGUUCCAGAGGAAGAUAUUGUUAUCAUAGACGAUGACAGCUCCAUACAUGCUAUUGCCCCUGAAGUGGGCAAUUGAACCUUCCAGUGUGACAAGAGGUGGCAGUGGAAGACAGUGCUAUUGAGGAUCCUGACCCUACGCAGGCCUAGGCUAAUGGGCUGGAGUACAGUGGCAUUAUCUCAGCUUGCUGCAAG
Molecule: long non-coding RNA, 284 nt
Filed under: Homo sapiens (human)
Lineage: Eukaryota; Metazoa; Chordata; Mammalia; Primates; Hominidae
Description: HSALNT0323229
Source: RNAcentral